Molecule: ribosomal RNA, 253 nt
Filed under: uncultured bacterium
Lineage: Bacteria
Description: partial 16S ribosomal RNA
Rfam family: Bacterial small subunit ribosomal RNA
Source: RNAcentral
GACGAACCGUGCGACCGUUGUUCGGAAUCACUGGGCUUAAAGGGCGCGUAGGCGGGGCGGCAAGUCCGGGGUGAAAGCCCCCAGCUCAACUGGGGAAGAGCCUUGGAAACUGCCGGUCUCGAGGGAGGUAGGGGUCUGUGGAACUUCGGGUGGAGCGGUGAAAUGCGUUGAUAUCCGAAGGAACGCCGGUGGCGAAAGCGACGGACUGGACCUCUUCUGACGCUGAGGCGCGAAAGCCAGGGGAGCAAACGGG